AGUGGAAUUGCUGGAUCAUAUGGUAAUUCUGUUUUUAAUUUUUUGAGGAUUUUCCAUUCUGUUUUUCAUAGUGGCUGCACCAUUUUCCAUUUCAUCAGCAAU
This 102-nucleotide microRNA precursor is filed under the name Marmota monax (woodchuck). The record is from RNAcentral. Lineage: Eukaryota; Metazoa; Chordata; Mammalia; Rodentia; Sciuridae.